Molecule: long non-coding RNA, 1362 nt
Filed under: Pongo abelii (Sumatran orangutan)
Lineage: Eukaryota; Metazoa; Chordata; Mammalia; Primates; Hominidae
Description: lincRNA
Source: RNAcentral
UCCACGUUGGCUGGUUUGAAACUGUGGUGUAUGUUUAAGCUCAGGCUGGAAAAGGAUCGCUGAAAGUCACUUGGAUGGUGUCUCAUGUGUCUGUGAUGAGCUUGCUGUUGCUUUCUUUCUUCUUGACAGAUGAGAAAACAGUGGCUUCAAAGGUUAAACAACUUGUCUUCGAUUAAUCGCACAGCUAACAAGAGCUCACUGUCCAAAGGGAGUCUGUCUCCCUGGUCCACAUGCUGAGGCUUGCUCCAGAGUGAAUGUGUGUACUGGAAAGAACCCACACAGGCCCCCUGAGAGCUGUCAGCCUUGCCAGGCUUCUGUAGAUCCCUGGGUCCGAGUAGCCAAGCUGGGAGGAGCACCAUUUGCCCACUGACUCUUGGGCAAGGCUGCAGCCUGCAUCCCAGCUGGCAGAAGGCAGGUGGUAUCACAGCUGAGUUUACAGCCACUGAAGGGCCCACUGUAUGCUUUUAGUAGAUAAUAUGUUUUCUCUGCUUCAGAUCCUUAUUUUGAUUGCUUAAAAUUUCUGCAGAAAACAAACAGCUUCUGCCAAAAUUGGCUCACAAAAUUAGUUUACUAGUAUAAUCAGUUGUAUAGCAAGUAUUUACUGAGUAGCUCUUGGAAGGCAGUCAACACAAGAGGGAUGGAUCAUUCUUCCAGUUCAUCACACGUGGGUUGGACAUGCUAACAGUCCCCGACAGCUAUCAGGCAAGUAUAUGGAUGAUCACACAAAGGCAGAGGCAUCGCAGAAGGAUGCUAACUAGAUGUCAUGAGUCAAGGAUACUAUAGAAGGAUCUCUUUGCUGACAAGGAGGGUACCUCUAAGGUUCCUUCAGAUGGGAUGGUUCUCUGUUCACCGUGAUCACUACUAUGCAAAGGCCUGUGGGCCAUUUAGGAGAAAAGCAUUCAGUCCAAUGCUACAGACACAGUGAGGAUGUAAUAUGCCCUGGGCAUAUAUGAGUGGAUCCAAGGAGGAAAUACUCAGUCAGUACUGUCAAGAACUCAUGACCUGCUGCAAGGUUGCCAAACUAUGGCUUGUGGGCCAAUCUGGCUCACCACCUAUUUUUGUAAAUAAUGUUUUACUGGAAUCCAGACACACUUGUUUGAUUACAUAUCGUCUAUGGCUGCUGAGCACCCACUAUAAGGGCAAAGUUGAGUAGAUAGAGACUUUAUCACCCACAAAACCUAAAAUAUUUGACUGGAUGGCCCUCUGCAGAAAAAGCCUGCCAGCCUCUGGUCUUGUGGGAGGACACUGCCGGGCACAGUUAACUCUAAUUCUUGGCUGUAGCAUCCUGAAUAGGGUGGCAGUCCCUGGCUGCUGAGGGGGACAGCUGGCUGGCUGCCUCCCAGGGGCAUUUCCAUGACUUGC